RNAcentral lists this ribosomal RNA (257 nucleotides) under uncultured bacterium. RNAcentral describes it as "partial 16S ribosomal RNA". It matches the Rfam family "Bacterial small subunit ribosomal RNA", at positions 524 to 777 of the family's 1533-position model. The record is from RNAcentral.
UACGGAGGGUGCAAGCGUUAUCCGGAUUCACUGGGUUUAAAGGGUGCGUAGGAGGGCAGGUAAGUCAGUGGUGAAAUCUCCAAGCUUAACUUGGAACUGCCGUUGAUACUAUCUGUCUUGAAUACCGUGGAGGUGAGCGGAAUAUGUCAUGUAGCGGUGAAAUGCUUAGAUAUGAACAUAGUAACACCAAUUGCGAAAGGCAGCUACGCUACACGAAUAUUGACUCUGAGGCACGAAAGCGUGGGGAUCAAACAGGA